CUCACCCUGCUCUGUGUCUAGAAGAGAGCUGAACACGCAGUAGAACACAAUAAAUUAUAUUCAAAUGGCAGUCAAGGAGGAAACUUUUCUUCCUCAUCAACAAAGCUGAUCGAUGGGGGCUGAAGCCCCAGGGAAGCAGCAUCUGUUGUAACUCAAGGAUCCCGGCUUGAGCUGAGGAUGGAAUUAACAGGCGCAGAGUGGUUGGCAGCCCAACGUUUGUGCAAGUCUGGCACAUGCACACAUCAUUAGCAACUAUGCUGGAGAAGAAUGAUCAAGGAGGUGAGGAGGGGAAUGGACCUGAUUAAAGGGAUGUUCAAGAAAGGAAAUUCCAAGCACUUGGAUAAAAGCUUCAUAGCUAAAAUGAAUGAACUCGUGAGCAAAGCAAACAGCCAGGUACAUUUGGGAGAUGCCGACAGACAAUCUGGAUAAUUUUGCCUCUGAAACUUUCAAAACAAAGUCAUUUCAUGCAGUGAA
Molecule: long non-coding RNA, 474 nt
Filed under: Pongo abelii (Sumatran orangutan)
Lineage: Eukaryota; Metazoa; Chordata; Mammalia; Primates; Hominidae
Description: lincRNA
Source: RNAcentral